RNAcentral lists this ribosomal RNA (447 nucleotides) under uncultured bacterium. RNAcentral's name for it is "bacterial SSU rRNA". It matches the Rfam family "Bacterial small subunit ribosomal RNA", at positions 328 to 792 of the family's 1533-position model. The record is from RNAcentral.
CUUCCAGACUCCUACGGGAGGCAGCAGUGGGGGAUAUUGCACAAUGGGGGAAACCCUGAUGCAGCGACGCCGCGUGGGUGAAGAAGCGCCUCGGCGCGUAAAGCCCUGUCAGCAGGGAAGAAAAUGACGGUACCUGAAGAAGAAGCCCCGGCUAACUACGUGCCAGCAGCCGCGGUAAUACGUAGGGGGCAAGCGUUAUCCGGAUUCACUGGGUGUAAAGGGAGCGUAGACGGCGACGCAAGUCUGGAGUGAAAGCCCGGGGCCCAACCCCGGGACUGCUCUGGAAACUGCGUCGCUGGAGUACGGGAGGGGCAGGCGGAAUUCCUGGUGUAGCGGUGAAAUGCGUAGAUAUCAGGAGGAACACCAGUGGCGAAGGCGGCUUACUGGACUGUAACUGACGUUGAGGCUCGAAAGCGUGGGGAGCAAACAGGAUUAGAUACCCGAGUA